UUAUCUGCUUAAAUUAAAGGCAGUUGGACUCGACAGUGAUCCUUACAACUUACCAAAGAACCAGUGCAUGGACAUUCAACAAGAAAUCGGAGCUGUUGUUUUACAGUCUGCCGAAAACUAAAGAAAAGAGAAGCAAAUGCAUCGCUGCAGUUCACAGAAACAACUUGAAUCCAGGCACCAAAACCUGGAUUUGCGGUUGUUAUUUUGUGUCAGCUGAAAAUGUCAUCAGGGUCAGGGGGUACACCUCCCCAGAGAGUAGCAUCUUUUGGGUAGUCUCCAUCCAGCUUUCUCUCCAUUCCUCUCCUCCCUUCAUCAAACCUCCAAAACUGCCUACCACUGAAUAGCAUCAACUUUUUCAAUUCCUGGGGGGAUCCCAAUCCAGAAUUUCCAUAUCAAAGCUGGGGAAAGAGAAACCGAUGAACCCGACUGCUGGAUCCGCCAGAAAUACGGGCCUGGAACGAGAAGAGCAAAAUCGCUAAUUUGUCACUGUAGGACGGCUGAGUACAAUGUUAUGAACUCCACAGCACUGUGGUCCAAGAAGUGCAUUUUGGACACUGGUUCAAUAUUUUGUUCUCCUACCCUUGAACAAGAAGAUCUCUCCUCUAAUAUGAGCCACUGCAUCAAAGCUCCCAUUGCAGGGAUUGGGAAGAGAGUGGUUUGGCCUGAGAGAAGGAAAGUGUGCAGGUGUAACAGAGGGAGGGGUCAGUGUUACACUGAUGCAGAGAGCCAAGACUGAGAUAGUGUUGCCAGCUAAUAAUAAAACAAUACCACAAUAAUUCAGCCGCCUUGAACAUGACUGCUUUGUCAUACAGAGGCACAUUACUAAUACACGUUCCCAGUAUAUAUAGAAUAAAAUCACACUAUUUGUAUUGCACAGCACACAGAACGGGUUUAACAUGACCUACA
Long non-coding RNA from Anguilla anguilla (European eel), 906 nucleotides. RefSeq lists it as uncharacterized. NCBI's taxonomy places the organism in Eukaryota, Metazoa, Chordata, Actinopteri, Anguilliformes, Anguillidae. The record is from RefSeq and is a predicted model, not a curated record. The transcript has 3 exons.